This 66-nucleotide transfer RNA is filed under the name Pseudoxenodon bambusicola. Its description in RNAcentral is "tRNA-Ile". The record is from RNAcentral. Lineage: Eukaryota; Metazoa; Chordata; Lepidosauria; Squamata; Pseudoxenodontidae.
GGAAGCGUGCCUGAAAAAGGACUACCUUGAUAGAGUAGAUAUGGAACCAUAAAACUCCCGCCUCCC